Long non-coding RNA from Astatotilapia calliptera (eastern happy), 993 nucleotides. The record is from Ensembl. NCBI's taxonomy places the organism in Eukaryota, Metazoa, Chordata, Actinopteri, Cichliformes, Cichlidae.
CAGACAGGUGCUGUUGUGAGUUUGCUUUUAUUUUCAAGAUCAAGCCCCUUCUAUAAUCUUGACAUAAUUUAGUGUGUGUGUGUGUGUGUGUGUGUGUGUGUGUGUGUGUGUGUGUGUGUGUGUGUGUGUGUGUGUGUGUGUGCGCGUGUGUGUGCACAGCCUGAGCCCGUGUGUAUAUGGCUUGGCAUGUCUGAGGCGAGCCCCGUAUAAUCGCUGCAUAACUCUGAUGCAAUAAUCACAUGUAAAUGACCACGGCAUGGAAAUGUGCUCUCUUGGUUUACAUAAUCUUGUAAUGACCCCUUGUAACACACUGUCUGUGAUAUUGGCCCUAAUAGAAUGUUCUUGCUCUGUGUUUUUUUUUUUUAACCCAACUUAUUUUUGUAGCUCCAGCCUGGAAUUACACAGAGCGCAAGCCCGGCCUAUUAGCACCAUGACAUGAGUGAUUUAAUUUACCCUCUCUCUUUCUCUCUCUCUGUCUCUCCUCCUAUUUAGCAUGCAACAGGCGUGGGCAGUAAUGCCUGUGUGAUUGGGCUGUGCUGGGUGAUGAUUUUAAUAAACACACACCCGCAGAGGUGGCCACAGGUCAACCGUGUUUGGAUUCAUCAGGUGCACAGGACGCAAGCUGGAAUGAAAAGCUUGGUGGUGGGCUGGAUCCACACCUGGACCAUAUUUCACCAGGGUGCAUACUAGAGAAUGGAUUGGAUCAUAGGUGAAAGUGUAUUCUUACCUGGAUAAUGCUUAUCAGGGAAAUUUGAGGCCAGCCCAGGUCUCCUCCUGGGAGGAGCACCCAGAAUACGCCCAUAUCGGGUGGGUCCUUUCUCAACAACAAUGCUCCACCUGGGGGCAAAUAGCUGCAUAACAUUAGGAAUCAACAAUUUACCGGCACUGGGUAUGUAAAACAAAUAGCUGAAAUUCCUAGUACCUCUGGUACUGUCAGCUGGUUGACUAGUUGCUUAUAUCCCUAGUUUAUAUUGCACAAAGCAAUCAAUAACU